Molecule: ribosomal RNA, 163 nt
Filed under: Shewanella algae
Lineage: Bacteria; Pseudomonadati; Pseudomonadota; Gammaproteobacteria; Alteromonadales; Shewanellaceae
Description: partial 16S ribosomal RNA
Rfam family: Bacterial small subunit ribosomal RNA
Source: RNAcentral
ACUUUAAUUGAAGAGUUUGAUCAUGGCUCAGAUUGAACGCUGGCGGCAGGCCUAACACAUGCAAGUCGAGCGGUAACAUUUCAAAAGCUUGCUUUUGAAGAUGACGAGCGGCGGACGGGUGAGUAAUGCCUGGGAAUUUGCCCAUUUGUGGGGGAUAACAGUU